Molecule: non-coding RNA, 14691 nt
Organism: Callithrix jacchus (white-tufted-ear marmoset)
Lineage: Eukaryota; Metazoa; Chordata; Mammalia; Primates; Cebidae
Source: RefSeq, a predicted model, not a curated record
CAGUUUUGAGAUUAAUCAAAGAUUGUUUAAUCACAGUCAAAGCUCAGGGACAACUUCCUUAAGAAAAAUGUGUAUUGUAACAAAAAUUAGAAAAUGUAGCUAUUUCUCAAGAAGUUGUAGGGGAUCCAUUCAUCACCACACCGCCUGGGUACAGUAACUGUCAAUACUGUAUGUCUUUUCUAAAUUCGACAGUGUACCACAUAGAUUAAUUUGUUGUCAAAUAUUCAUCACAAAAUUUUCAUGUGUCAUUGAUAAUCUGUUAUAUGUAUAUGGUUAGCAUUACAUUCUGGUAGCUUGUGUUCCUUAAACCACAUAAAUUGAAUAGUAAGCUUUUUUCUAUUUUUGAUACAGAGUCUUGCUCUCUCUGUCACCCAGGCUGGAGUGCAGUGGUGCAGUCUCGGCUCACUGCUACCUCCGCCUCCUGGGUUCAUAAAAUUUUUCUCCUAUCUCAGCCUCCCAAGUAGCUGGCAUUACAGGUGCACACCAUACAUUUGGCUUUUUUUUUUGUAUUCUUAGUAGAGUUGGGGUUUCAACCUGUUGGCCAGAUGGUCUCGAUCUCCUGACUUUGUGAUCUGCCCACUUUGGCCUCCCCUCCUGCUGGGAUUACAGGCGUGAGCCACGGCACCCAGCCUGAAUAGUAAGCUUUUACUCGGAAAAUUUGUUUCAUAUUUUAGCUGUGAUGAAUAAAGAAGUGGAAAUUUAUUGGUUUUAAAAUCCUGCCUUUCGUCAUUUGCAUAUGUACAGUGCUUCAGAGAACUACUACUUGAAAUUCAGUUUGAUCUAAGGAUCUUAUAAAUUGUAUAAAAUUUAAAAAGUAAAUUUUUAAGUAAAAAAACAAAAAUUACAAUAAAUCUUAUUUAUUCCCCCCAUUAUAGCAGUUCAUGUAGGAAUCAAAGGAGGAGUUGGAUUGUUUAUCUAAUUUUGUUUUUUAAAUAGAACUGAGGUCUCACUAUUUUGCCCAGGCUAGUCUCUUAACUCCUGAGCUCAAGUGAUAUUCCCGCCUUUGCCUCCCAAAGUACUAGGAUUACAGCGUGAGCCACCAUGCCUAGCCAGCUUUUAAUAGAGAAGAAUGUUUAAAAAACAAAAGAUAUCUUCCAAAUUAUUAUAUUUUAUAAUUUUAUUAUUUAUGUAGUUUUUGUGUAUUCUGUUUUAAAUUGAUUUUUUUAAAAUGAAUUUUAUAAUAUUUUAAAGUCAUUUUAAAUCCAAAUAUGAGACCUUUGGUAGUCUAAGAUGCAAAUUAUGUAAGACAUAAAUUAGAUAUCCCUUGAAUAUAAAUCUUUAAGAGAUUUUAUUUGUUUCGACAAGUUCUAUCCUCCUCAUGGUUGACUUGCAGCACAAUAUAAUAUUUAGACAUCUUAAGAAACCUGUUGGAGGCAUUGCUAUGAGUUCUAAUUAGCAUUGUUUGUAGUGCACCUAAAAGUGGGGACAGUUCCAUCCUUCAUAGUUGACCAGGAGUUUGCACUGGCUUAGCGAUUAGGUGUCAGUCAGUGCUCAGUAGUCUCCAGCUGUUCUGACGGGCAGGUGAAUAUAUUUAGUAGUCAGGGUUGAGGAACCAGGCUGUUUACAGUUUAGCCUUUACAUUUGCUUUGAGUAGGAAGAGACUUGCAAGAGAGAUACCCAAAGAAAUACUGAAUAAUUCAGGAGCAGGUUUGCAUUUAUCCACUGGUACUAUUUAGUUGCAUUUAUUAUACAGCUUCCUGCCCUUUCACAAAAAUUUAUUGAGCUAGUAACUAUUUACAGGAUUAGCCAAAGAAAAAAGCAAUGUUUAUUAGACUGUUAGAAUAUAGUUUCCCUGUUUAGUAUUAGAACAAUAUAUUAUAAUGAGUGAUGUGAUUGUCAGAAUUACUUACAUUUGUGUACAUAUGUUUUCUCCAUUAAACUUCUGGUUCUGUGUUCUGUUCAUUAAACAUAAAACUUUAUUAAAGUGUAACUUGUAUUCCGCAAAAUUCACGUAUUUGAAAUAUGCCUUUGAAUUACGUUUUAGUAGAUUUAUUGAAUUGUGCAACUAUCACCAUAAUAUAGUCUUAGAACUUUUCCCCCAGCCUUGGGCAGCCACAGAUAUGCUCUGUGUCUCCAAGUCUGUUCCCUUCUGUGGCAAGCUCAAUGCAUUCUGUCUGGUAGGCAGGCAGCUAGUAUUCCCUGCAUAAAAUUUGAGUAGCAAUUCAACAAAACUGAGUGCAAUUGGUAAUGAUCACUCAGACAUUUUCUGUGGCGAAGUUGUUGAGAUGAGCGUGGGAUACACAUGUCUUCAAGGGGCCCUAACACAGCAUGACCAUGUUGUGCGUGAGCCUUAGGUAGAGGCUGAGCAUACACCUGGAGGAGGGAGGCGCUGAGACCUAGGUGAGUCUAGAAGAUGCACUCUUUAUCUUGCCCCUAGUCAAGGAAGGUCAUUUUUCAAUGUUCUCACCUUGAUGUAAUAAGGAUCUACUGAUUUUGAAGUAUAUUACUCUAAUAGUACUGAUCAUAGUACUUUGCAUUAAGUUUCCCUGAGUUCUAGGCAGGGACAGUGAUGAAACUGUAGUCCCUCAAUAUUUCAGAAACUGGAAUGAAACUGGUAAUGGGAGGAAAGCCAGAGGACAGUGUAGGGUGGAGGCAGAGAGGCUAACUCAUGUGAAGUAUAGUAAGGUGGAUUUGGUAUAAAGUGAGGGGUCAGUUGGGGUCUUAGCAAGAGUAUUUCCUGGGACUGAUAUGAGCAAAAGCCAGGUUGCAGUGGGCAGGAGACAGCAGUGGUAGACACAACUUGGACAGUGACAUGCCUCCUAAGAACUUGGCUUUGAAGGUAAGGCGAUGGAUGGUGAGAGGGGAUUGAAAGGGUUUCGAGGGUAUGUAUGAUGAGGAGUGACUACUGGCAGUGGGCCACUAUGACGUGUUCUUGAGGAAGAAAAAAUAUCUAACCACUGGCAUUCAGCAGCAGUGUUUUUCCGUUAAAGGUUCUUUACCUUCCCUGUUAGGGCCACAAACUUCUUCUAUAGCAAACCUCAUUGGUGGUUUUUUGCCCCUCUUGAAGCCCACUCAGGGACUCCAGUUCUUACUCCUGCAUAUGACCAGCCAAGCAGCUGCUUUUCCCUUGGAGACACUGCAUCAUCCUUGAAUUCAUUUUCUAUCGGAAUGAUCCUGUUGUGUUUUUUUCAUAAACCAGCAGCAGGUUUGAGAGAGGAAUAUGAAUGAAUCAUGAUGUUUAGGGACAGGUAAUACUAGGUAGAAGUGUUUUAUGUUAAAUUACCUCCUCGGAAGAAAGAUGCGAAGUCAUAUCAAGUCUUUUCUAUAAUCAUAGUGUGAAACUGGAAAGCUGAAAUUGGAACUCUAACUCGUCCUCAUACUAAACUCUGUAUACAGUUCAGCAAAAAUCUGUGUUAGAAUUAAUUUUUUUUUUUUUUUGAGAUAGUCUCACUCCAUCACCCAGACUGUCUGUAGUGCAGUGGCGCGAUCUCUGUUCACUGCAGCCUCUACCUCCUGGGUUCAAGAGAUUCUUCGGCCUCAGCCUCCUGAGUAGUUGGAAUUAUAGGUGUGCACCACCACACUUGGCUAAUUUUUGUAUUUUUAGUAGAGAUGGGGUUUCGCCAUGUUGCCCAGACUGGUCUCAAACUCUGGCCUCAAGUGAUCGCCUGCCUCAGCCUUCCAAAGUGCUGGGAUUAUAGGCGUGAGACACUGUGCCCAUCCCAGAAUCUUUUUUUUUUAACUCCUUUACUGCCUCAGCUGCCUCCUCUUCAGUCGCCUUUGCCUGAAAAUCACCUUUGCCUUUUGAUGACACAGCUUCUGAAUGAAUAAUUAUUAAUUAGCAGUUCAAAUUAAUUAUAGCAGUCCUUAUUUUGAAUAACAGUAGGCUAGCAAUCAGAAAACUUGAAUUUCUAUGAAAAUAUCCAACUCUUUUUGUAUGCAAAUGACAUGUGGCUCCUCUUAGCAUGUUAUCUUGCAGGUUAAGCCUUUUGGCAGGUUGUUGCCACCUUGUCAGUCUGUUUUGAGAAAAGACUUGGCUGGGUGCAGUGGCUCACACCUAUAAAUUCCAGCUUUUUGGGAGGCCAAGGUGGGAAGAUUUCUUGAGCCCAGGAGUUCAAGACCCUGUAUUUACAAAAAAAACAGGCAUGGUGAUACUUGCCUGUUGUCUUGGCUACUCAGGUGGCUGAUGGGGGAGGAUUGCUUGAGCUAGGAGGUCAAGGCUGCAGUGGGCUGUGAUAUCACCACUGCACUCCAGCCUGGGUGACAGAGGGAGACCCUGUUUCUAAAAAAAAAUAAAUAAAUAAAAACUAAAGACCUAAGAACUUUCCUUAAGGAUGUUGAUACCUUUUCCUGUCUUAGAAAUAUGUUUGUUACUAUACCAGAAACUGUAAAGCUGCCUUUACAUCAGAAUGAUUUAAUUACAAAACAAUCCAGUUCUUCUCCAGUUACCCCCAGAGUGUAUGCACGGUUCUUGGUCUUCUGGUAACUUCUUAGAACUUGCCCCAGGAUGAAGGAUACUCUUUGACCAGGUGCCAUCUUUUCCUCUUAGAAUAUAUUUGUGCUGAGAAGGCUGGUAGAUCCUUUUUAAUGUAGAAAAUUUCUUUUUGAUGAGAUAGCAUUGUAGCAUUUUGAUUGUAGCGUUUUGGUCAUUGGCAGAAGGAAUGCUUUCUAUAACACAUACCCCUGAUCUUUUUAGUUCCAAGGCAUAUUUAAAAAUAGAGGGAUUUCUUCAUUCCCUGUUUGGCUUACUAUUCUUAGUUUUAUCCUUGUGUAAAUGAGUUAUAUGCUGCUAAAACUUCUCUUGUUGUAGAUGUAUUGUAAUAGCAGUCUUUCAAGGCACAGGGAUCAGUAAAAACAUCUUCCAACUUAGAACAUUUUGUAAUUUCUUUAAAAAAAUUAGUAAUUUUGCUGCUUAGUAUUUGCAUCAUUUAGAAUAUGAGAAACUUUUGCAAAUUCUUUCAUUUUAGGAUUUCGUUUAAUUUCUAUUAAGGCAUUUUGUUCAAUAGUAGAUUUACAAGUGAACUUUGUGUGGCAGUACUGUGUAAACUGUUGUGCUGAGAGAAUAGUCAGAUCACUGGGAGGAAGUGACAGAUGUGUCAGAGUUCUCUGCCUGGCACCUGGCUACCUUCAUAGGCAUCAGUGUUCUUACAUAUACACAUAGCUACAUGCACAGAUCAUAAAAGUAUAAAUCAGUGUUUUUCUGCAAAAUAAACACAUGUAGGUAAUCCACUGCCAAGAUCCUCAAAGAGUCCUGUGAGUUUUUGGCAGCAAUUUGACUACAUGUCACAAUUCUAGAAAUUGUGAAAAUAGCAGAAAUGUGUAUCUUCAAAUCAGGGAACUUUUGCAGAUAAGAUACUUGAGGCCGGGUGCGGUGGCUCACGCCUGUAAUCCCAGCACUUUGGGAGGCCAAGGAGGAUAGAUCACUAGGUCAGGAGACCAAGACUGUCCUGGCCAACAUGGUGAAAGCCCAUUACUACUAAAAAUAGGACAAAAUUAGCUGGGCAUGGUGGCAGGUGCCUGUAAUCGCAGCUACUUGGGAGGCUAAAGCAGGAGAAUUGCUGGAACCAGGGAGUUGGAGGUUGCAUUGAGCCAAGAUCCCAUUGUACUCCAGCCUGGAGACAGAGUAAGACUCCAUCUCCCUUCCCUUCCAAAAGAAAAAAGAAAAAGAGAUACUUGAGAGAGUCAUACAGUGGUGUCAAAGCUUCUGAGAUGAUUGGUCUGUUUGAUUCUUUGUUUGGAGUUCUGAUCUCAUGAAGCCAGUGCUUCUCACCUAGACAGCUGCAGUCACUCCUCCCUGAUGUCCCCAACCUACCCUUCUGUUCUAAGACAGUGGCCAAAGGAUUCCUUCGAGAAGACCAACUCAGAACCUACACUUCUGUGCUCAACAUCAGAGUCAGCCUGUGUCUUGGCAGGGCCCUACCUGUCCUCUCUGACUCUCCUGCCUGCUGGCUCUCCCCUGGCACGCUGCCAGCCCCAGUGGGCUCUUGACCGUUGGAUCAUGCCAGCGUCACCUCACCACAGGGUUGUCUGCCUCAAUUAGUCCUGGUGUGCCCCUUUCCCAGCAGUCUUCGAGGCUUGUUCUCUUACCUCUCUCAGUCUCGGCCUCACCUUCUCAGUGAGCCCUAUCUAUCCACAUCCACCUCCUCUGGCUUGCCUCAGACCCCUUACGUGUAGCAGUUAGCAUCUUCUAACAAUGGUAGCUAUUUGUUAGGCGUAGUGUUUAUCUCUGGACUAGAAUGCUAGGGUUUUGUUUUGUUUAUUGUUGUAUCCUAGUGUCUUCCUGACAGACAGGUGCUUCAUAAAUAUCUCCGGUAUAAAAGAAUAUAUCACAUAUGGUGGUUAUCACUGCAGACUAUCAUGGCUCUUACUAUGCACUCACCUAACACUUAAGUUUACUCAUUAAUUCCUGUGAGCCCUACACCUGUCUUACCACUAGGUACUGUUAUCCCAUUUUGCAAAGGAGGAAACUGAGGCACAAAGAGGCUUAAGUAAUUUAUCCCCAAGAUUACUGAACUAAAAAGUGGUAGAACCCGGAUUUGAACCCAGGCAGCCUGGCUUCAGAAUCCAAACUCAAGAGGAAAUACUUUCUAUUUGGUACUGUUAUUUCAUUUAAAAAGAGAAACAAGAAGGAAAUAAUUAAAAACACCCAGCUGUUUGUUUUGUUUUGUUUGUUUUAAGAGACAGGGUCUUGCUCUAUCACCGAUGCUGGAGUGCAGUAGAACAAUAAUAGUUCAUGGCAGCCUCAAACACCUGGGCUCAAGUGAUCCUCCUGCCUCAGCCUCCUAAGUAGCUAGGACUACAGACAAGUUCCCCCACACCCCGCUAACUUUUUAUUUUUAUUUAUAGAGAUGGGGUCUUGCUGUGUUGGCGAGGCCAUUUCAGAGUUCUUUAAGGCUGUCCCCUCAUCACAGGCGCAUCAUAUUUGCCCUCUAGGAGGGCAAAAUGGCUUUGGUAGAUGAGUACUGGGGGCCUUCCACAGGCUUGCUGCCCAGAGCUGCCUUCGACCUCUGCUCCCCAUGUCUGGUACAUGGCUUCUCAGUCACCCCAGCUGUGGCUCAAGUGGGCCCAGUGGUGGCUCAGGGCGCGGCUCCAGAAGGUACAAAUCAUAAACCUUCGUGGCAUCCACAUGUUGCUAAUUUUCAGGCAAGAAGAAUGCUAGAGCUGUGGAGCAGCCUUCACCUAGAUUUCCAAAGAUGUCAUGGACAGUCUGGGGGCCCAGGCAGAGACUUGUCACAGGAGCAGAACAACUGCAGAGAGCCUGUACUCGGGCAACGGCAAGCAGAAAUUUGGAGUCGAACCUGCUGCAGAGAAAUCCCAACAGGGCAGGCCUAGUGGAGUUGUGGGAGUGGCCUGAGAGCCUUCAGCUCUGUAGCUGCCAGCUUGCAUCAUCAGCCUAGGAGAGCUGUGGGCAGGAGACUCCAGCCCCUGACAGCUGAACUCCAGUGCCUAUGAAAGCAGCCAGUUGCCAGGCAGAGAAUUCGGACACAUCUGUCACUUCCUCCCAGUGAUUUGACUAUUCUCUCAGUACAACAGUUUGCACAGUACUGCCACACAAAGUUGAUUUGUAAAUCUACUGUUGAACAAAAUGCCUUCAUAGAAAUUAAACUGAAUAGCAAAGCCAUGAGGUGGGGCUGUCUGAGGCCCUUGGGACCCAAUCCUUCACCAGUGUGCCCAGAGGGUUGGGACAUGGAGUCAGAGGAGAUGAUUCUCCGUAGAGGCUUAAUAUUUAAUACUGUCUGCCCUGUUGGGUCUUGGACUAACCUGGAGCCUCUUGCCUCUUCUUGCCUAUUUUUCCCUUUUGGAAAGCAAAUUUUGUGUGUGUGUGCCUGUCCCACCAUUUUAUUUUGGAUACACAUACCUUGUUAAUUUCCACGCUCAGGGCUGGAGAGGAAUGAUCUUGGGGUGAAUUGUGCCUUGAGUCUCACCCAUAUCUGAUUCAGACGAGACCCUGGACUUUUAAGUUGAUGCUGAAAUGUGUUAAGACAAUUGGGCUAUUGGAGGCAUUGGGAUGGAGUGAGUGUUUCUUGCAUUAUAGAAGGAAAUGAAUGUGGGAGUUGGGGUGGAAUGCUGUGGUUUGCAUGUGUGUCCCCCAAAGUUCAUGUGUUGGAAACUCAGUCUGCCGUGCAGCAGCAUUGGAGGUAGGGCUUUCUAAGGGAUGAUAAGGUCAUCAGGCUCUGCCCUCUCAAGUGGAUGAGUGGAUAAGUGCCAUCGUGACAAGAAUGACUCCAUGUCCUCAGGUGUGCGUAUGAUGUGCAGCACAAAGGGCUCUCCAGAUGCAGCCUCUCAACUUGAGACUCAGCCUCCAGAACUGUGCGAAGUAAUCUCUGUUCUUUAUAAAUUGUUCCAGCCUUAUUCUGUUAAAGCAGCACAGAGUGGUUUCACAAAGGACUUUACGGCUUGAAAAGUGCAGGGAGGAGAUUGGAGAAUAAAACAGCAUUGAGGCGCCGUGCUGGUGUUGGUUAGCUGAUCUUUUUGCAUGAGACAGAGGAGGUUGGGGGAAUGGUAUCUUAGAAGCCGAGAUCAUAGAGGUAGGCUGGGGCCAGAUUAUGGGGACUUUGAAGUUAUAUUGGGAUUCUUUUCCAAGUACUUAAAGUCAGCACAACAGCUCUUCGAAAUAGGUGUCGAUGUUGGCUCCAUUUUACGAAUGAGAAAACUGAGAGAGAGAGGUUAUAUAAUUUGCCAGAGAUGACACAUGUAGUAAAAAUGGAGCUGAGACUUCAAGACCAAGCAGGUGAUCUCAUGAGCUUCUCUGCUUUACUGUACCCUUUCCCCCUGCAGCUGGUAUGAAUUGUUUGUAUCCUUAGUGCAAACAAGGAUACAAACAUGGGAAUGUUUUUCCCAUGUAGAUAUUUAAUUCUCUUUGAGUAGCAUAACACUAGGGUCAGUGUAUGGUCUGAGUUUUGUUUCCUCAUCCAAAACUGCUAGUAAAUCUCCUGGUGCCUCAUUUCCCUUAUCUGUACAGUGGAUUAGUAGUAUCUACCUUGGGGUUCGUUAAGAGUACAAAUUAACACUUGCGGCAAAGUGGAUGCAUAUAUGUAAUUAAUAUUUUGGGGCAUAUAGUGCUAUAUAAAGUGUUUACUACCAUUAUCAUAAUCAUUAUUAUUGUGAUUUCAGUACCUGAAUUUAAGUAUAUUCAGAAGUGUUCCUGUUGCCUUUAUGUUUAAGUAUAAUUCCUAAACUUUUUAUGAUAAACUGUAAUAAUAUUUUAAUGAUAAAAUUUAUUUAUUUAUUUAUUUAGACAUGGAGUCAUGCUCUGUCUCCCAGGCUGGAGUGCAGUACCUCUGCCCCUUGGGUCAAGCAAUUCUCCUGCCUCAGCCUCGGAGCAGCUGGGAUUAUAGGUGCCCGCCACCACGCCCGGCUAAUUUUUUUUGUGUUCUUAGUAGAGAUAAGGGUUCACCAUCUUGGCCAGGCUGGUCUUGAACUCCUGACCUCGUGAUCCACCCACCUCACCCUCCGAAAGUGCUGGGAUUACAGGUGUGAGCCACUGUGCCCAGCCAAAAUGUUAUUAUUUAAAAAAAAAAAAAAUCGGACACCGGUUAUAACUCAUAGAUUAAAUAGCAAAAUCUCUCUUACAGAGGAAUUAAACGAAUUACUUUGUUUUUCAGAUAGCAUGUCAGAAUCAUAAUGUGAAAAAGAAUUACUUAUACUAAGAACAAAGUAUUACAGAUGUCAUAAGGUCUUGUUUUAUGUUUCUUAUGACAUCUGGAGCCAUCAUGUGAGUCCAGAGUCAGGGCCCAGACCACGUAGUGCAGUGGCAACUUGUUUAGUUGUAGACACCUGUUUUUCAGCAGAUGGCAGACUGUGUGUUCCUGCAUCAAGUGCUUUCAGGAGACUCUGAUUCUGGUGCUAGGGCUUGAGCUCUGUUUUCCUUUCUCUUGAUUGGAGUGCUCAGACAUCUGCGGAGGUGGAGAGAAGAAUAUAAUGAACCGAAUGCAGCAUCGUGAACUUCAACAGUUACCCAUCUCCACAUUAGACUGCUGUUUGUUUUUGUUUUCUGAUAUGCAGUCUCACUCUUGUCACCCAGGCUGGAGUGCAGUGGUGCAAUCUCGGCUCCCUGCAACCUCUGCCUCUCAGGUUCAAGUGAUUCUCUUGCCUCAGCCUUCUAAGUAGCUGGAACUACAGGCAUGUAUCCCCAUGCCUGGCUAAUUUUUUAUAUUUUUAGUAGAGACAGGGUUUCACCGUGUUGGCCAAGCUAGUCUUGAACUCCUGACCUCUGGUGAUCCACCUGCCUCGGCCUCCCAAAGUCUUGUGCUAUCAUGUCUGAUGUGGACUACUGUUUUUAAGUCUUUUCCUCCCCCUAUGCACACAACUGUUUUAACUUUUUUAUGUGUGUGUAUAUAUUUACUAUAUGUGCUAGGUUAUUUUAAAGCAAAUUGUAGAUAAUGUGUCACUUUAUCCCAAAUACUUCAGCAUGUAUCUCUGACAUAAUGCCAUUUUCAUACCUGACACACUUAUCUACAGACAUUUUUUUAAUUGCUUUUUUUGGGGGGUGUCUCCUUUGUUUUUUUUUUUUUCAGUUCUUAAUUGCUGUUUAUUUCUUUUUUUUUUUUUUUUUUUGAGAUGGAGUUUCGCUCUUGUUACCCAGGCUGGAGUGUAAUGGCAUGAUCUCAGCUCACCGCAACCUCCGCCUCCUGGGUUCAGGCAAUUCUCCUGCCUCAGCCUCCCAAGUAGCUGGGAUUACAGGCACGCACCACCAUGCCCAGCUAAUUUUUUGUAUCUUUAGUAGAGACCUGGUUUCACCAUGUUGACCAGGAUGGUCUCGAUCUCUUGACCUCGUGAUUCACCCGCUUCGGCCUCCCAAAGUGCUGGGAUUACAGGUGUGAGCCACCACGCCCAGCCCCUGCUGUUUAUUUCUUAAAGCUAGAAAAUUAGAUAUAACUGUAAGUACCUAUAUAUUUUAAGGGACAAAAUUCUGAUACUGUUUUCCUUUGGGGGGAAUUUGUGAACUAUUUAGUUACCACUAUCCCAUGAAAUGUAAUUUGGGAAAUACUGAAACACUAGAAAAACCAUAAGCCUGGAAUCUUUCUGACUGGAAUAAUAUUUUAAGUUACAUUUUAUUGAGUUUAUGAGAGUAAGGAAAAAAUACAAUGCAGCAUUCUUCUGUUAUUGUUCUGAGUUUUUGGAUUCCCGGUCAUAUUUGGAAUUGAGCACAUGGAGUAUGCUCCUUGUCAGGUCAGACUCUGUUGUCAUUAGGAUUUGGGUUUGAGUGGCAGGAACAUGUGACUGCUGUACAAGGGGUUAUUUUUGGCCUCUGGGUGUUGGCUUCUCCUCAGAAAGCAUAGCAAGUUAGUGUGAGGUACGUCUGUGGAGGCUUGGGAUUGGCACCCGUGUUGUGUGCUUGUGAGCUCUCAAACAUGGGCUGUUGCUUCAGCAAAGGACUAAGUAGUGACAAUGACAGUGAAAAAAUUGGCCUGUUACAAAAAUCUGUGGAGGAGAAGGAACCAGAAAACAAGAUAAGUAAAACUUUAUCUUCAUUAUAUGGUACCUCUGAGGGUGAGGAGCUUCACGGUGUUGGCAUUGGAGCCAGCAGUGAAGCUGCUGGCCUUAGUGCGUGGACAAGUAUUUUUGCAGAGUCUGAGCACAAACAGGGUCAUAGACCUACGCAGUUGGUGAACCCUAUUUCCUCUCUUGUAUAUACAUUCUUAACAAGGUUUGAAAACUUGGAUGAGAGUGACAAGAAUUCAGAUACUGUUGUUAAUGAGCAGAAUUCUGAGGGAGUCUGUGACCCACUGUGCGUGGGUACUGGCAGCCAAGGCUGUUGUGAAGAGGAACCCUUCUCAUGUGUGCCAGUGCCUUCUGACCGAGGCCUGCAGGAGAAAACUUUUGUGAGUGGCCAUCUGCACUAUUACCCAGCUAUUUGUAGACACUCUUUAGUAGAGGAAGAAAUGGUGGUCAGCAUUCACCUCAGUAGCGGUGAUGAGAAUAAGUCUUCAGACAUAUCCAGUAGGGAGAAGAAAGACAGAAACCCCGUUUGUGUUGAUCAUCAGCAAUAUCUGGAUUUAAGGGAGUACGAGUUUCACAGCAUUUGUGUUGCAGACUCUGCCUUCCCAAGUGUAGGAGAGAAGCUGGGCACCUGGGCAGGCAGAGUAACUGCAAAAGGAGAGUGUCGCUCUGCUGUGCCUUCAGCCCUGCGUUCCGUGUCAGGGGCUGACGAGCCAGAGCCAUGGCAGGAUGAGCUCCUGCCCCGGGACACACUGGGUCCAGGUGAACGGACAGGGAAAUGCAGUGGGAAAACCCAGCCUUGCCCUGAGCCUGUGGCAUUCAGCCAUGCACCUUGUGAAGCAAAUGCUCAUAACACACAGGUGGAGGCUGUACAGGCAGAAGCUUGCACUGAAUUCCCUAAAAAUUACACAGAAAGUAGUACACUGCAUAAUAUUGACCUACUCCCUGAAGUAAAUAAUAACAUGAACAGUGACUCACUGAGACUUCCGUGUGUCCUUCUGGAAGAACGUGAGAGCCGUAACUCAGGAGUAGGAAGUGAGAUGGAUCAUUCUCCUGUUAGCGUCCUUACUGACACUGCGUGUGUUGCAGGGAGUGAUGACCAGGAGGCUGGUGUCGACCAGAAUUUACAUUCUAAAAAGGAGGGAGAAAAUAACUCUAUCAAACCACUAAGAGACAAUGAUUGUUUCUACCUGGAUAUUAGCAAAUUCGAUAGUAUCCUUCCCAUUGGUUUAGAUAGCAUUGAUUUAAGUCCCAAGAGGCCUGUCACUGCAGUGAGAUUUGGAAGUGGGUGUCUCUCAGGUCACACUAAUUCAAGAGAAGCAGCCCCAAGCCAGCUUGAUGACUGCUGGGAGCCGGAAUCUGUCCCUGGGCCACUGAGGAAGGCGCAGCGCAGAGGAGACUGUGGCCUGGAGACCAGAGGUCACUUACUGGCAGACAGAGGAGAGCUGUCUCUGCAAUCUGAAAAUAGUGCCUUUUACCAGGAAGAGGACAAAAUUGGCAUUUUUGGGGCUAAGGGUCAUGGUAUAAGGACUUUUCAGUUGAAAUCUUGGUGUCAAGCAGAUGAGGCUUCGACACAGACUUGUGACCUAACUUGUGUGGAGCGUGUGGUGGACAUGGAGGGGACGGUGCAGAGGACAGACAGCUGGAAGCUUAGCAUGGCACAAGGAGUGCCCCCCGAUGGCAAGUCUCACCGUCACUCGAGGUCUCUUCAGAGUAACUGUGUUUCCUCCGCAUUGAUUUUCACCUGCACAGAGGAAGAAGUGAGGGAAAUAAGCCCAAGUGACAAAACAGAGGGUGAAAUAUGUGUGAAGAGUUUAGUCAGUGUGUCAGGAGACCAGCUGAGUGACCCCCAAAGGUUAGAAAGUGGUGAAAAAGAAUCACAGAAAGCAGAGUAUAGAGAGACAAGUGAAGAUGACACAGAGACUGUCAAGUCAGAUUCUGAAAUGACCUGUGAGUGGGAAACAGGUACACAAGGAUGUGAGGCAGUGCCAAGUCAGGAUGUACUCUCCUGCGUUAGUUUUAGUACGACAGAGAACCCUGAUUUUGAGACUAAUCAAAUAGAAAAAAAUUAUGAAACACACCAAGUAUAUGCCAGCAAAUACAGUGGUCUUAAUGUGUUACCACCUUUAAGUCAAAGUUUUAAUCCAGUUAUACAGAAGUCAGAAAUAGUAGAGAAAUCUGUUAGUAGUGGUGAAAGCCCAAAAUGGAAGGGAAUUUACUCUGAAUCAAUUGAAGAGGCUUCUGUUGUCUUUGGUACUAAUACAUCAGGGUUGAGAAUACCAAAACUAACAUGUAAAGAAGAGGAAGAGAGACUUUAUUUGGAGAAAGAUAGUAUUGACCCCAAAAUUUUGGACUGCCUGGGUCCAUGUGGGACAAAUGAAUGUGCAUACCAUUUCAAAGAAGGAAAUGCCAAGUCCACUCUUAAACAAUCUACUUUAAAUGGUGAAGUGGGUUUUAUGGGAAUAACUAAGGUGAUUUUUGAAAAAAUGGAGUCACAUGGCACUUCCAAUGGGCAUUUAUUUUUGGUUGGUGUUGAUCCCACCCUAGUGGACAGAUACACAGCUCCCCACUGUGAUACAGCCCAGGGGACUCCUGCUGUCCCCAUGGACAGCAAAGAUGCUGUCGUAUCAAAUAGUGACCGCAUUUUAUCACUCACAGAAGGUGUCCUCAAUAGAUCAGAACAUCCCUCAAAAAUGGAUUGGCAGAGUUUCCCAGAAGGAGUUUCCCAUUUUUUGGGUGAAUUUUCCUGUUACCCAAUGGGAGGGCUAGCAAAUCCAGUAUUUUCUGAAAGACUGGCCCGUGGUUGUGGUGGAUAUCAAAUGGGCUAUCUCUGGACUAAUACAGUCACAAAAGAUGCACUAGAAGUUGGAAAAAUAUUUAGUGAGGAUCUAUACCAUCAGCCACAGGACUUGGAAAUUGCUUCGUUUUCAGAAAACACUCCUCAGCUACCGGUAUCAGAGGAUGGUGUUAUUUGGGGAUGGCAUGAUAGAGAUGGACAGUUCGUACCAGCAACUAAGGUUUCAGAGCUGAACCCUAAUGCAGAAGUGUGGGGGGCCCCUGUGUUACAUCUGGAAGCAAGCAGUGCAAAUGAUUGGAUGCCAGUGGUGAUGGUGACCACAGCCAUGAGAAUGCAGCAUUGCCAGACCCACAGGAGUCGGACCCAGCAGGCAUGAACGCUCUCACUCUAGGUCCUGCAGAAUAUGACUCUCUCCCUGAAAGUAGCGAAACAGGAGGAAAUGAGUCUCAACCAGAAAACCAGGAAGACCCCCGAGAAGUACUUAAAAAAACAUUGGAAUUCUGCUUAUCUAGGUG